Molecule: long non-coding RNA, 300 nt
Filed under: Mytilus galloprovincialis (Mediterranean mussel)
Lineage: Eukaryota; Metazoa; Mollusca; Bivalvia; Mytilida; Mytilidae
Source: RNAcentral
GUGUCAUAUCAAAUUGUUGUCGUUAUUGAGAUAUUCAUCAUAUUGGUAUCAAAUUUUCAGGACUCUGAAAAGAUCAUUGUUCUGUUUGUAUUAUGUUUAUGAUGUCUAAGGUAAUUCGUGUGUUUAUGCUUAAGGUGUCAGACCACAAAUGCAAAACCCAUCUACAUUCAACCAUAUUUUUGGAAGUUAAGGAAGUACACCACUAAUUUAUGGACCCUUUGCUUUCUAUGUUAGAUUUCAAGCAGACACAGCUAUUGCAUUUUAAGUUUAAAUACAGUGACAUUAAUUGCAUGUCAAGGC